UUAGGUAUAGUUCAGUGAUAAAGCACAUGCUUAGCAUGCAUAAGGUCCUGGGUUCAAUUCCCAGUAAUUACA
This 72-nucleotide transfer RNA is filed under the name Camelus bactrianus (Bactrian camel). It matches the Rfam family "tRNA". Rfam says of the family: Transfer RNA (tRNA) molecules are approximately 80 nucleotides in length. Their secondary structure includes four short double-helical elements and three loops (D, anti-codon, and T loops). Lineage: Eukaryota; Metazoa; Chordata; Mammalia; Artiodactyla; Camelidae. RNAcentral also lists the same sequence under 2 other names. The record is from Rfam by way of RNAcentral.